Long non-coding RNA from Musca domestica (house fly), 754 nucleotides. RefSeq lists it as uncharacterized. The record is from RefSeq and is a predicted model, not a curated record. The transcript is spliced from 3 exons. NCBI's taxonomy places the organism in Eukaryota, Metazoa, Arthropoda, Insecta, Diptera, Muscidae.
GAUAGUUAGCAACUUAGGUAAAGUCCAGUUUUCAUAUCGUGUUAUAGUUUAUUUUUGUUGCUUUUUUACUUUAGUAUAGUAAAAUCUUCUACCCGUAUCCCCCACACAACUUGCAGAUUUAAGGCAUCUCUGCCGUUCGACUCCCCGACACUACAACCAACGUCUGUAAUCUGCUGAAGCUUGUAAUGAAUAUACAAUUUUCAACGUGUAUUCUCACAUAGAGGGAAACAGCGGAAGAAGCAGAAGAAUGGCCAAGUUGCAGUGUUUUUUAUGCAAGUAUAUUUGCUAUCAUGAAAACAGCAGAAUUAAUUAAAACUAUGGAGUAUGAAAAACUGUUACUGACUACUAAAUCUUGGAGAAGAUUUCAAAAUUUUGCAAAUUGGAUCUGGGUACUCUUCACAUUACUAUCUGGAUUUCUUAGAGCAUUAAAACUACUAUUCAAGGAGAAAACCAAAGUGAGAGAAUCUACGUGCAUAGAACAUAGUCUCAUUUAAGUGUGGAUAAGACAAUGUUACGCAUUACGAUAAGGAUAUUAACAGCAACAUUCGAUUGAGAACGUCCAAACGGGAUAUCCAACGUCGAAUAAAAUUCAAUAAUCGGUUAACGUUUUCUUGGAUAAUCAGUUCCUUUUUUAGUUUUGGAAUGAUUUGUGUUUUUGUUGCACUUAUGCAACAUUGCGUUAUGCGAUGUAUUUUUCCCAAUAUUUUUAAAGUAAGUAAGUAAAGUAAAUAAACUCACUAUUUUUAGAUGAAAA